AUGCCACAUCUCCCUUUGGGUAGAUUCUCUGUCCGACCUGUCAACUCCUGCUGCGGCUGUCACCGACCCAGACUGAUCCGGGGACUUGGAAGCCCAUCUCCCCCCUCCCACUCCUGUCCAAACAAGGCCAACAGCUGUUCGAGAAGCCAUAACAAACAGCAGAGGCCUUCUCAUCAUGAGAUGUCCACCAAGAGAGGAGCAGCAAGAUCGAAGACUCUCCAAGUAAUUUUUUCCCAAGACCCUACCCACUUUGUUCAGUGUAACCAGCUGUGAUUUCAGCUGCUGAGAAGCAGCAUGGCUUAGUCGAAAUAGUAAUAAUAUUUACGAAGUGCUUACUGUGUGUAGAGCAUUGUAUUAAGUGCUGGGAAAGAGCUCAAAGGUGGGAGAGAGGACUGGCUUCGGAGUUAGAGAGCUUGGGUUCUAAUCCUGACUCGGUCACUUGCCUGCCGUGUGACCUUGGCCAAGUCACUUAACUUCUCUCUGCCUCGGUUUCCUCAUCAGUAAAAUGGGGAUUCUACACCAGCACUCCCUUCUACUUAGACUGUGAGCUCCAUGUGCGACAAUGACCGUCUGACCUGACAUCUUGCAUCUAUCCCAGGGCUUGGUCCAUAAAAAGAGCUUAACAAAUACCACGAUUAUUAACUGGUUAGAUGGACAACGACAGAGGAGUUAUUUAUUUCCAGGCAAGAGGCAUAGCGGAUCCCAGACACAGGCUCUGUGCCUUCUGAAGCUUCUCUAGCAGUGACCUAGCCAGGACUGGGGAAAAUUUUCUUAGAGGGAGCCAGUCAGCUGCAGGAGUUUAGCAGGGCUUCUCCUCCCUCUUUAAGUGGAAGUCUGCCAAGAACACCACCUGUCAGCCAGCCCCCAACCUUUUUCAGGCUCUUAAAAGGGCAACACCUAGUUGAGAAAAACAUAUUUGCAGGCAUGAGCUGACUCAUUCUUUCUCACUCUCUUCCUCAAAAAUUUGAAUUGAUUUAAUAUGAGCUGGUGGUAUGAAUCUAAGUGUUGUUCACAGUUGGUAAUAAAAAAAAUUAAUUGUGGUGGUGUUGAAGCACUCAUUAUGUACCAAGUACUGUACUGGAGGCUGGGUUAGAUACAAGAUAAUCAGGUGGGACUGUCCCACAUGGGACUCAGAGUCUAAGGAGGAAGGGACCAGGUAUUUAAUCCCCAUUCUACAGAUAAGGAAACUGAGGCCCAGGGAAGUUGUGACUUUUUUUAAAUGGUAUUUGUGCUUACUAUAUGUCAAGCACUCUUCUAAGAGUAGAUAUAAGUUAAUCAGGUUGGACCCAGUCCCUGUCCCACUUGGAACUCACAUUCCAAGAAGGAGGGAGAACAGGUAUGGAAUCCCCAUUUUGCAGUUGAGGCACAGAAAAGUUAAGUGACUUGCCCAUGGUCCCACAGCAGGCGAGUGAUUGAUGUGGAAUUUGAACCCAGAUCCUCUGGCUUCUAGGCCCGGGCUUUAUCCGCUAGGCCACGCUGCUUCCCAGUUCAAGCUUACCCAGCAGGUAAACGAUGGGGCUGGGAUCGGAACCUACGUUCUGAAAAUCCAACUUUGGCUACGUGCAUAAGUAGGGCACUGAAGUAAGUCAUUUCAGGAGCUCAGAAGCAAGUUAGUGGCCUGUUGUAGCUCCGACUAUAGGCUAGACUCUGGUAUCCCUCUGACAAAUCACCGGCUCCGUCUCUCAACUCCUGUGAUAAAUCCAGGUCAAGGCCUCCCUCCCCACCUGCCAUCUCUUUUCAUUUUCUCCCCCGGGUGCCACGGGAGAGGCCACUCCAUUGGUCAGAAUGGCCUCUGCCCUGCCAGAGAUAAACAGGCCCAGGAGUACAUAUCCCAGAUUGCAACACUGGCAUGUCACACAAGGUCAGACAGCUGUUCACUCACAUGCACCACUUGCUUGCUCCUGAUAAGAGGAAACAUCACCAGCCACAGGGUCCGCUCGGCCAUGCUCAGUCACGCACAUGUGUACGUACACACACACACACACACAAAAUCCCUCUCGCUCUCAAUCCCCAACCCCGCUGUUGUCUUAAGGUAAAUUAUUGACAUCUUGAAGUACUGAAACACGGGGAACUGAAGUUAAAGUCAACUUUGUGCUCCUAUAAUGAAAUUAAAUCCUGCUGUGCCAGCUUCUUUGGGCAGGAACAGACGAAAUGUGCCUAGGCGUGUUGUCAUCAGGAAUCUCACAGCCAAAGGCAACCAUUUUCCAGAGCCUCUGGACCUUCUGCAGAUGGGAAGGGGGAAUGUUCACUGCCUCAGAGUCCAAAGUUGAAUGAGUCAUUAGAUGGACCAAGAAAAUCCUCUCUCAUAGGAUGGAGAUAUUUUUCCACUAUGACCAGGUGGUCUCUAGUGCUUAGUACAGUGGCUGGCACAUUGUAAGCACCUAACAAAUACUUUCUUUUAGAGAGCAAGCUAGGGGAGAUUGGGG
RNAcentral lists this long non-coding RNA (2426 nucleotides) under Ornithorhynchus anatinus (platypus). Its description in RNAcentral is "lncRNA (ENSOANG00000037252.1)". The record is from RNAcentral. Lineage: Eukaryota; Metazoa; Chordata; Mammalia; Monotremata; Ornithorhynchidae.